AAAUUGAAGAGUUUGAUCAUGGCUCAGAUUGAACGCUGGCGGCAGGCCUAACACAUGCAAGUCGAACGGUAACAGGAAGCAGCUUGCUGUUUCGCUGACGAGUGGCGGACGGGUGAGUAAUGUCUGGGAAACUGCCUGAUGGAGGGGGAUAACUACUGGAAACGGUAGCUAAUACCGCAUAACGUCGCAAGACCAAAGAGGGGGACCUUCGGGCCUCUUGCCAUCGGAUGUGCCCAGAUGGGAUUAGCUAGUAGGUGGGGUAACGGCUCACCUAGGCGACGAUCCCUAGCUGGUCUGAGAGGAUGACCAGCCACACUGGAACUGAGACACGGUCCAGACUCCUACGGGAGGCAGCAGUGGGGAAUAUUGCACAAUGGGCGCAAGCCUGAUGCAGCCAUGCCGCGUGUAUGAAGAAGGCCUUCGGGUUGUAAAGUACUUUCAGCGGGGAGGAAGGGAGUAAAGUUAAUACCUUUGCUCAUUGACGUUACCCGCAGAAGAAGCACCGGCUAACUCCGUGCCAGCAGCCGCGGUAAUACGGAGGGUGCAAGCGUUAAUCGGAAUUACUGGGCGUAAAGCGCACGCAGGCGGUUUGUUAAGUCAGAUGUGAAAUCCCCGGGCUCAACCUGGGAACUGCAUCUGAUACUGGCAAGCUUGAGUCUCGUAGAGGGGGGUAGAAUUCCAGGUGUAGCGGUGAAAUGCGUAGAGAUCUGGAGGAAUACCGGUGGCGAAGGCGGCCCCCUGGACGAAGACUGACGCUCAGGUGCGAAAGCGUGGGGAGCAAACAGGAUU
RNAcentral lists this ribosomal RNA (789 nucleotides) under Escherichia coli. RNAcentral's name for it is "bacterial SSU rRNA". It matches the Rfam family "Bacterial small subunit ribosomal RNA", at positions 1 to 779 of the family's 1533-position model. Lineage: Bacteria; Pseudomonadati; Pseudomonadota; Gammaproteobacteria; Enterobacterales; Enterobacteriaceae. The record is from RNAcentral. RNAcentral also lists the same sequence under 2 other names.